GCCUACGGGAGGCAGCAGUGAGGAAUAUUGGUCAAUGGCCGAGAGGCUGAACCAGCCAAGUCGCGUGAGGGAUGACGGCCCUACGGGUUGUAAACCUCUUUUGUCGGGGAGCAAGACCCGCCACGAGUGGCGGAGCGAGAGUACCCGAAGAAAAAGCAUCGGCUAACUCCGUGCCAGCAGCCGCGGUAAUACGUAGGUGGCAAGCGUUGUCCGGAUUUAUUGGGCGUAAAGCGAGUGCAGGCGGUUCAAUAA
RNAcentral lists this ribosomal RNA (252 nucleotides) under uncultured bacterium. RNAcentral's name for it is "partial 16S ribosomal RNA". It matches the Rfam family "Bacterial small subunit ribosomal RNA", at positions 337 to 586 of the family's 1533-position model. The record is from RNAcentral.